Molecule: ribosomal RNA, 497 nt
Filed under: uncultured bacterium
Lineage: Bacteria
Description: partial 16S ribosomal RNA
Rfam family: Bacterial small subunit ribosomal RNA
Source: RNAcentral
GAUGAACGCUGGCGGCGUGCCUAAUACAUGCAAGUCGAGCGAACAGACGAGGAGCUUGCUCCUCUGACGUUAGCGGCGGACGGGUGAGUAACACGUGGAUAACCUACCUAUAAGACUGGGAUAACUUCGGGAAACCGGAGCUAAUACCGGAUAAUAUAUUGAACCGCAUGGUUCAAUAGUGAAAGACGGUUUUGCUGUCACUUAUAGAUGGAUCCGCGCCGCAUUAGCUAGUUGGUAAGGUAACGGCUUACCAAGGCAACGAUGCGUAGCCGACCUGAGAGGGUGAUCGACCACACUGGAACUGCGACACGGUCCAGACUCCUACGGGAGGCAGCAGUAGGGAAUCUUCCGCAAUGGGCGAAAGCCUGACGGAGCAACGCCGCGUGAGUGAUGAAGGUCUUCGGAUCGUAAAACUCUGUUAUUAGGGAAGAACAAAUGUGUAAGUAACUAUGCACGUCUUGACGGUACCUAAUCAGAAAGCCACGGCUAACUACGUG